This is a non-coding RNA of Phrynosoma platyrhinos (Desert horned lizard), 72 nucleotides long. Lineage: Eukaryota; Metazoa; Chordata; Lepidosauria; Squamata; Phrynosomatidae. The record is from the annotation of a GenBank genome assembly.
GACAGUGUGGUGUAGUGGUUUGAGUGUUAGACUAGGACUUUAGAGACCAGGGUUUAAUUCCUGGCUCAGCCA